GAUGAACGCUGGCGGCGUGCCUAAUACAUGCAAGUCGAGCGAACGGACGAGAAGCUUGCUUUUCUGAUGUUAGCGGCGGACGGGUGAGUAACACGUGGAUAACCUACCUAUAAGACUGGGAUAACUUCGGGAAACCGGAGCUAAUACCGGAUAAUAUUUUGAACCGCAUGGUUCAAAAGUGAAAGACGGUCUUGCUGUCACUUAUAGAUGGAUCCGCGCUGCAUUAGCUAGUUGGUAAGGUAACGGCUUACCAAGGCAACGAUGCAUAGCCGACCUGAGAGGGUGAUCGGCCACACUGGAACUGAGACACGGUCCAGACUCCGACGGGAGGCAGCAGUAGGGAAUCUUCCGCAAUGGGCGAAAGCCUGAUGGAGCAACGCCGCGUGAGUGAUGAAGAUCUUCGGGUCGUAAACCGCUGUUAUUAGGGAAGAACAUAUGUAUAAGUAACUGUUCAUAGCGUGACGUUACCUAAUCAGAAAGCCACGGCUAACUACGUG
This 497-nucleotide ribosomal RNA is filed under the name uncultured bacterium. Its description in RNAcentral is "partial 16S ribosomal RNA". It matches the Rfam family "Bacterial small subunit ribosomal RNA", at positions 28 to 507 of the family's 1533-position model. The record is from RNAcentral.